UUGCGGCGAGAUCACGUUGAAACACCGGUUCCCGUACGAUUACUGAAGUUAAGCAACGUUGAGAUCCGCCAGUACCUAGAUGGGUGACCGUUUGAGAAUACCAGGUGCUGUAAG
Molecule: non-coding RNA, 114 nt
Organism: Acanthosepion pharaonis
Lineage: Eukaryota; Metazoa; Mollusca; Cephalopoda; Sepiida; Sepiidae
Source: the annotation of a GenBank genome assembly